GUCGAGCGACAGAUAAGGAGCUUGCUCCUUUGACGUUAGCGGCGGACGGGUGAGUAACACGUGGGUAACCUACCUAUAAGACUGGGAUAACUUCGGGAAACCGGAGCUAAUACCGGAUAACAUUUGGAACCGCAUGGUUCUAAAGUGAAAGAUGGUUUUGCUAUCACUUAUAGAUGGACCCGCGCCGUAUUAGCUAGUUGGUAAGGUAACGGCUUACCAAGGCAACGAUACGUAGCCGACCUGAGAGGGUGAUCGGCCACACUGGAACUGAGACACGGUCCAGACUCCUACGGGAGGCAGCAGUAGGGAAUCUUCCGCAAUGGGCGAAAGCCUGACGGAGCAACGCCGCGUGAGUGAUGAAGGGUUUCGGCUCGUAAAACUCUGUUAUUAGGGAAGAACAAAUGUGUAAGUAACUGUGCACAUCUUGACGGUACCUAAUCAGAAAGCCACGGCUAACUACGUGCCAGCAGCCGCGGUAAUACGUAGGUGGCAAGCGUUAUCCGGAAUUAUUGGGCGUAAAGCGCGCGUAGGCGGUUUCUUAAGUCUGAUGUGAAAGCCCACGGCUCAACCGUGGAGGGUCAUUGGAAACUGGGAAACUUGAGUGCAGAAGAGGAAAGUGGAAUUCCAUGUGUAGCGGUGAAAUGCGCAGAGAUAUGGAGGAACACCAGUGGCGAAGGCGACUUUCUGGUCUGUAACUGACGCUGAUGUGCGAAGCGUGGGGGAUCAAACAGGAUUAAUACCCUGGUAGUCCACGCCGUAAACGAAGAAUGCUAAGUGUUAGGGGGGUGUCCCCCCCUUAUUGCUGCAGCUAACGCAUUAAACACUCCUCAUGGAGGAGUACGAGCGCGAGGGUGUAUCUCUAACGUAUUGAUUG
Molecule: ribosomal RNA, 874 nt
Filed under: Staphylococcus saprophyticus
Lineage: Bacteria; Bacillati; Bacillota; Bacilli; Caryophanales; Staphylococcaceae
Description: bacterial SSU rRNA
Rfam family: Bacterial small subunit ribosomal RNA
Source: RNAcentral